RNAcentral lists this ribosomal RNA (253 nucleotides) under uncultured bacterium. RNAcentral's name for it is "partial 16S ribosomal RNA". It matches the Rfam family "Bacterial small subunit ribosomal RNA", at positions 524 to 776 of the family's 1533-position model. The record is from RNAcentral.
UACGGGGGGGGCAAGCGUUGUUCGGAAUUACUGGGCGUAAAGGGCUCGUAGGCGGCCAACUAAGUCGGAUGUGAAAUCCCCAGGCUUAACCUGGGAACUGCAUCCGAUACUGGAUGGCUUGAAUCCGGGAGAGGGAUGCGGAAUUCCAGGUGUAGCGGUGAAAUGCGUAGAUAUCUGGAGGAACACCGGUGGCGAAGGCGAGUCUCUGGGCUGUAUCUGACGCUGAUGCGCGAAAGCUAGGGGAGCAAACGGG